Molecule: ribosomal RNA, 744 nt
Filed under: Porphyridium sp. RCC2962
Lineage: Eukaryota; Rhodophyta; Bangiophyceae; Porphyridiales; Porphyridiaceae
Description: bacterial SSU rRNA
Rfam family: Bacterial small subunit ribosomal RNA
Source: RNAcentral
GGGAUGCAAGCGUUAUCCGGAAUCACUGGGCGUAAAGCGUCUGUAGGUUGUUUAGCAAGUCUAAUGUUAAAGACUAGGGCUUAACCCCAGAAAAGCAUUAGAAACUGCUAGACUAGAGUAUGGUAGGGGUAGAGGGAAUUCCCAGUGUAGCGGUGAAAUGCGUAGAUAUUGGGAAGAACACCAGUGGCGAAGGCGCUCUACUGGGCCAUAACUGACACUGAGAGACGAAAGCUAAGGGAGCGAAUAGGAUUAGAUACCCUAGUAGUCUUAGCUGUAAACGAUGGAUACUAGAUGUUGUGUGUUUUUUCAUGCAGUGUCGUAGCUAACGCGUUAAGUAUCCCGCCUGGGGAGUAUGCUCGCAAGGGUGAAACUCAAAGGAAUUGACGGGGGCCCGCACAAGCGGUGGAGCAUGUGGUUUAAUUUGAUGCAACGCGGAGAACCUUACCAGAACUUGACAUAUCAUGAAUCCUUAUUAAUGUAAGGAGUGUCUUCGGAAGCAUGAAUACAGGUGGUGCAUGGCUGUCGUCAGCUCGUGUCGUGAGAUGUUGGGUUAAGUCCCGCAACGAGCGCAACCCUUGUCUUUAGUUGCCAUCAUUAAGUUGGGGACUCUAAAGAGACUGCCGGUGACAAACCGGAGGAAGGUGGGGAUGACGUCAAGUCAGCAUGCCCCUUACGUUCUGGGCUACACACGUGCUACAAUGGUUAGAACAAAGAGUUGCGAACUUGUGAAAGUAAGCUAAUCUC